This 562-nucleotide non-coding RNA is filed under the name Eucalyptus grandis. RNAcentral describes it as "Microsporidia small subunit ribosomal RNA". It matches the Rfam family "Eukaryotic small subunit ribosomal RNA", at positions 162 to 731 of the family's 1831-position model. The record is from Rfam by way of RNAcentral. Lineage: Eukaryota; Viridiplantae; Streptophyta; Magnoliopsida; Myrtales; Myrtaceae.
AGUUAUCAUGAAUCAUCAUAGCAACGGGCAAAGCUUAUGUCGACUUUUUAUCUAAUAAAUGCAUCCCUUCCAAAAGUAGAUUCAUGAUACUUGAUGGAUCGUAUGGCCAUCGUGUCGGCGACGCAUCAUUCAAAUUUCUACCUUUAUCAACUUUCGAUGGUAGGAUAGUAGCCUACUAUGAUAAUGACAAGUGACGGAGAAUUAGGAUUCGAUUCUGGAGAGGGAGCCUGAGAAAUGGCUCCCGCAUCUAAGGAAGGCAGCAGGCGCGUAAAUUACCCAAUGCCGACACAAGGAGGUAGUGACAAUAAAUAACAAUAUCGAGCUCUUUGAGUCUAGUAAUUGGAAUGAGUACAAUCUAAAUCCCUUAACGAGAAUCCAUUAGAGGGCAAGUCUAGUGCCAGCAAUCGCGGUAAUUCUAGCUCCAAUAGCGUAUUUUUAAGUUGUUGCAAUUAAAAAGCUCGUAGUUGGACCUUGAGUUGGGUCAACCAGUUCGCCUCACGGUGUGCAUCGAUUGGCUCAUCCCUUCUACGGGCGAUACGCUCUUGGCCUUAACUGACCAAGU